RNAcentral lists this ribosomal RNA (478 nucleotides) under uncultured bacterium. Its description in RNAcentral is "partial 16S ribosomal RNA". It matches the Rfam family "Bacterial small subunit ribosomal RNA", at positions 28 to 523 of the family's 1533-position model. The record is from RNAcentral.
GACGAACGCUGGCGGCGUGCUUAACACAUGCAAGUCGAACGGUAAGGCCCUUCGGGGUACACGAGUGGCGAACGGGUGAGUAACACGUGGGUGAUCUGCCCUGCACUUCGGGAUAAGCCUGGGAAACUGGGUCUAAUACCGGAUAGGACCACUGCCUGCAUGGGUGGUGGUGGAAAGCUUUUGCGGUGUGGGAUGGGCCUGCGGCGGAUUAGCUUGUUGGUGGGGGGAUGGCCUACCAAGGCGACGACGGGUAGCCGGCCUGAGGGGGUGACCGGCCACACUGGGACUGGAAUACGGCCCAGACUCCGACGGGAGGCAGCAGUGGGGAAUAUUGCACAAUGGGCGCAAGCCUGAUGCAGCGACGCCGCGUGAGGGAUGACGGCCUUCGGGUUGUAAACCUCUUUCAGCACCGACGAAGCGAAAGUGACGGUAGGUGCAGAAGAAGGACCGGCCAACUACGUGCCAGCAGCCGCCGUAA